Molecule: long non-coding RNA, 976 nt
Organism: Culex pipiens pallens (northern house mosquito)
Lineage: Eukaryota; Metazoa; Arthropoda; Insecta; Diptera; Culicidae
Exons: 4
Source: RefSeq, a predicted model, not a curated record
UUGAAAGCGAUUCAUUUUUUCCGAAGAAAAAACGCCCCACAAACGAUUGAGCGGAAGUUUAACCAGAGUAAAUUUAAAAAAAUUUGUUAGUGAAAUUGGCUGUGGAUUCCGCGCUCCGCGAUGGCAGCUGGUUUCGGAACGAAGGGGGUCCAGAGCUGAACGAUUUCCCGCUGGCGUUCUGAUGAUCUGGCACGUGUCCUGUCCCGUGUACCUUGAGUGCAGCUUCGUAAUUGUGCGUGCAUAGGUUGUGAUCGGCUCAAACCGGUACACAGUGCUGGAGGUGGCCGGAGGUCUAGAAUCCAGAAGCAAAGAGCAACGAAGAGGGCCAGAAGGAUGGUUAGGGUACGGUGCCGGCUGCAAUUGACCCGGAUAUGGGAAUGCUCAGCAAGGACAGCAGAGUUUGAGCCGACAUCGUUCGCACACCGAAACAUCUCGACCGAGGUCGGAUUCUUCCCGGAAGCCCCAUCGCCGGAAGUCACCUUAUGGCCAGCCAUAUACACGAAUGAAUCUUCGUCACGAUCUUCAAUGAAAGACCGCAGGAGUAGUUCCGGGGUUCCCGCGGCUGACUGCAGCUAUGACGUCAAGGACCGCACAGGAUAAGGACAAGUUCUUUUCACGGCCACGAGCAGCUCCGCUACAUGAACAAAAAGUGUGAUUCAGCAAAUAAAUACCACAAUAAAUGUAAAGAAGUGUUUAAAAAACAAUUAAUUUAAUUAUUAUCCGAAAAAGCUUCAAAAACGUUUCAACAUGACGAGUAGUUUAUAAUAAUAAAUUGCAUAGCUAUUAAAAAUCAUGCGUGCUAAACAUACAUGCUAUAUGCGGCUGCAUAUUGACGAAUCAUUUAGUUUGUAAGCAUUGCAUAUACCGUUCAGGUGCCGUGCACAUAUAUUUUAUAUGCGUGAGCAUAUUGCAAAGAUCAGAUUUGAACAACUUUUUACAGUGCUUUAAUCAAUUUUUUUAGAGUUUUUUUAAAGGU